Non-coding RNA from Labeo rohita (rohu), 819 nucleotides. NCBI's taxonomy places the organism in Eukaryota, Metazoa, Chordata, Actinopteri, Cypriniformes, Cyprinidae. The record is from the annotation of a RefSeq genome assembly.
CUGAGAGCAGAACAGAACAGAAUCUUCAUCAUCACACAAGACAAAACAACAACAAUGAACAACAUCAUCAUCCUCAUCUGGACACUCACACUGUUUGCUCAAGAGUGUAGAGGACAGUACACUGUUACUCAGAGUCCAUCAAUAACAGCAGCUCAAGGACAAGAAGUCAGAAUAAACUGUAAAGUCAGCAGUAGAGUGUGGGUGGUGGUAAUUCGUUUACACUGGUACUUACAGAAACCUGGAGAAGCUCCUAAACUCCUCAUAUAUGAGACAUCAAGCCGUUACACUGGAACUCCAUCUAGAUUCAGUGGCAGUGGAUCUAACAGUGAUUUCACUCUGACCAUCAGUGGAGUCCAGACUGAAGAUACAGGAGAUUAUUACUGUCAGAGUUACCACAGUGGUGGUGUGUUCACACAGUGAUAAAGAGUCGUACAAAAACCUCCAUCAGUCAGAGUCACAGUGACUGCACUGAUACAGAUGAGAGAAACUGCAGCUGCUGAUGGGUGUGAAUCAACUCAAUCACUCUUGUCUGUAGAUCACUAUAUUACAAUGCAGAACACUAUCUAAUAAUAAAUUCAGUCUGUACUGGUUAGGUUAAUCACUAUAAUGAAUGAACAAAAAAGGCUUGACACUCAACAAACAUUGCAGUCAAAAUAAAUAAAUUAAAUUAAAUUAGCUUGCAUGUUACUAUCAUAUUGGCUGUUCAUUGGUACUAAUAAUGCACAUAUUAAUAUUUUUUUUUUCUGCAUGACCAUAUUUUAGAUCCCUUUAUCCUACCACAUAACUAUUAAUAGCAAAUUAAGAGUUUAUUCAGCCAAA